RNAcentral lists this ribosomal RNA (253 nucleotides) under uncultured bacterium. RNAcentral's name for it is "partial 16S ribosomal RNA". It matches the Rfam family "Bacterial small subunit ribosomal RNA", at positions 524 to 776 of the family's 1533-position model. The record is from RNAcentral.
UACGUAGGGUGCGAGCGUUGUCCGGAAUUAUUGGGCGUAAAGAGCUCGUAGGCGGUUUGUCGCGUCGGCCGUGAAAACUUGGGGCUUAACUCCAAGCUUGCGGUCGAUACGGGCAGACUUGAGUUCGGCAGGGGAGACUGGAAUUCCUGGUGUAGCGGUGAAAUGCGCAGAUAUCAGGAGGAACACCGGUGGCGAAGGCGGGUCUCUGGGCCGACACUGACGCUGAGGCGCGAAAGCCAGGGGAGCGAACGGG